This 507-nucleotide ribosomal RNA is filed under the name uncultured bacterium. RNAcentral's name for it is "bacterial SSU rRNA". It matches the Rfam family "Bacterial small subunit ribosomal RNA", at positions 28 to 532 of the family's 1533-position model. The record is from RNAcentral.
GACGAACGCUGGCGGCGUGCCUAACACAUGCAAGUCGAGCGGAGUCGAUCGACGGAAGCCUUCGGGCGGAAGAUGGUUGACUUAGCGGCGGAUGGGUGAGUAACGCGUGGGCAACCUGCCUCGAAGACCGGGAUAACAGCCCGAAAGGGCUGCUAAUACCGGAUGUGGUCAAGGAUCCGCAUGGAUUUUUGAUUAAAGGGGAAACCCGUUUCGAGAUGGGCCCGCGUCCUAUCAGCUAGUUGGUGAGGUAAAAGCUCACCAAGGCGACGACGGGUAGCCGGCCUGAGAGGGUGACCGGCCACACUGGAACUGAGACACGGUCCAGACUCCUACGGGGGGCAGCAGUGGGGAAUCUUCCACAAUGGGCGAAAGCCUGAUGGAGCGACGCCGCGUGAGCGAAGAAGGCCUUCGGUUGUAAAGCUCUGUCUGAGGGACGAAGGAAGUGACGGUACCUCCGGAGGAAGCCACGGCUAACUACGUGCCAGCAGCCGCGGUAAAGUACUCUAU